GGUGAGAAGUUGUCUAGUAAGGAGUUGUCUAGUAAGGAGUCGUCUAGUAAGGAGUCAUAUGGUGAGAAGUUGUCUGAUAAGGAGUCAUUUGGUAAGAAAUUAUCUAGUGGUAAGCAUCUGGUGGUACGAGUUGUCAAGUAAGAACUAAGUUGUUGGGAAUAUCGAAUUUGGGGUUCCGAACAUCAGUUUUGGACGUUCUUUAGGUAGUUUUGGACCCUUUCAGAGUUGUUGGUGAGGGUUUCCGAGCUAUUUUCCC
This 256-nucleotide long non-coding RNA is filed under the name Vigna radiata. RNAcentral describes it as "long non-coding RNA (VRAD_LNC013542)". The record is from RNAcentral. Lineage: Eukaryota; Viridiplantae; Streptophyta; Magnoliopsida; Fabales; Fabaceae.